UUUCUGCUAUGAUGAUUGAAGAACAAAUUCACAUGUCAGACUUCAGAGAUUUUAUAUCAAUGAGAAUGACAAUUCUAUUUACUGAGCGGAAA
Small nucleolar RNA from Vicia villosa (hairy vetch), 92 nucleotides. RefSeq annotates it as small nucleolar RNA R64/Z200 family. Lineage: Eukaryota; Viridiplantae; Streptophyta; Magnoliopsida; Fabales; Fabaceae. The record is from RefSeq and is a predicted model, not a curated record. The transcript has a single exon.